This 380-nucleotide ribosomal RNA is filed under the name uncultured bacterium. Its description in RNAcentral is "bacterial SSU rRNA". It matches the Rfam family "Bacterial small subunit ribosomal RNA", at positions 30 to 412 of the family's 1533-position model. The record is from RNAcentral.
AUUGGACGCUGGCGGCAUGCCUUACACAUGCAAGUCGAACGGCAGCACGGGGCAACCUGGUGGCGAGUGGCGAACGGGUGAGUAAUGCAUCGGAACGUGCCAUUGAGUGGGGGAUAACGUAGCGAAAGUUGCGCUAAUACCGCAUAUUCUGUGAGCAGGAAAGCAGGGGACCGCAAGGCCUUGCGCUCUUUGAGCGGCCGAUGUCAGAUUAGCUAGUUGGUGAGGUAACGGCUUACCAAGGCGACGAUCUGUAGCGGGUCUGAGAGGAUGAUCCGCCACACUGGAACUGAGACACGGUCCAGACUCCUACGGGAGGCAGCAGUGGGGAAUUUUGGACAAUGGGCGCAAGCCUGAUCCAGCCAUGCCGCGUGAGUGAAGAA